GCGAGUGAGCGGCAAAAGCUCAAAUUUGAAAUCUGGUACCUUUGGUGCCCGAGUUGUAAUUUGGAGAGUACCACUUUGGGACUGUACUUUGCCUAUGUUCCUUGGAACAGGACGUCAUGGAGGGUGAGAAUCCCGUGUGGCGAGGGUGUCAGUUCUUUGUAAAGGGUGCUCGAAGAGUCGAGUUGUUUGGGAAUGCAGCUCUAAGUGGGUGGUAAAUUCCAUCUAAAGCUAAAUACAGGCGAGAGACCGAUAGCGAACAAGUACAGUGAUGGAAAGAUGAAAAGAACUUUGAAAAGAGAGUGAAAAAGUACGUGAAAUUGUUGAAAGGGAAGGGCAUUUGAUCAGACAUGGUGUUUUGCGCCCCUUGCCUCUCGUGGGCUUGGGACUCUCGCAGCUCACUGGGCCAGCAUCGGUUUUGGCGGCCGGAAAAAACCUAGGGAAUGUGGCUCUGCGCCUCGGUGUAGAGUGUUAUAGCCCUGGGGAAUACGGCCAGCCGGGACCGAGGACUGCGAUACUUGUUAUCUAGGAUGCUGGCAUAAUGGUUAUAUGCCGCCCGUCUUG
Molecule: ribosomal RNA, 561 nt
Filed under: Nakaseomyces glabratus
Lineage: Eukaryota; Fungi; Ascomycota; Saccharomycetes; Saccharomycetales; Saccharomycetaceae
Description: eukaryotic LSU rRNA
Rfam family: Eukaryotic large subunit ribosomal RNA
Source: RNAcentral